CUUAACACAUUCCCUAAAAUAUAUAUGGGGAAGAAUUUUUGUCAACACUUGUCAAUCCAUCACCACCACGAACUUGCCAACUCUCCAAUCGACCAUCUUACAUAGUCCCCUCUCAUCGUCUCUACAAUGCUCUUAGUUAACAAUUCACCGCUCUACCACCUGUAUCUGUAGAAUAUAACAUUUAAUGGUCGGGAGCCACACCAAGCCAACCUCCCUCAAUAAAUACUUCCUUUCAACACCAAAAAAAAACAUAAGAUAAAAAAUAGCUUACAUUCUUCUCAAACAUUCUCUCAACUCAAAUAAACAGACCAUCCUUGGUGGCCCUUUAUACCCCUAAGGUGUGAACCUCCACUAUUUUUAAUAGCUCUUCACACUAUUUACAAUACGAACCAUCAUCAUUAUCUACUUUUAACACUUCGUAUAAGCUUAGUUGUUAAUUUAAAGAAUUCAAUUCACAUGUAAAAUAUUGAGGUCAUUAAUUAUGAACUCGAGAAAGAAAGAAAAGAUACAUACAGGCAAGAUAUCAAGGAAGCUAGGAAAAGGAUUGAAGAAAGGAAGAAUAUUGACUGUUCAAAAAGAAAAACAAUGGUGAACAGUAUUUUUCCUAAAAUUUGUGGGGCAAUUUGGGUACAUUCAAACAGCAAAAGAAUGAUGGUUCAAAUGAAAAUCAGACCAUGGGGGCAACUCCAAGGAAUUAAAACCGAAAACUCAUGCUCAACACCCUAACAAAAGGAAAGAAAAAGUCAAAGUCAAAGGAAACAUAAUCUGGCACUCACAGAUGCUUCAAAAUUGCCCUACGGAUCUCUAUAAUAACCAAUCAAAUGGUUCAAAACAUUACAAUAGUAAUAAAAAAAAGGGUCCUCAUCUAAAACACCAAAAUCUGGCCGUAUCCUGAUAUCAGGGUACGUUAAAAAAAAGUCUAAUCAUUUACCUAUAUUGACGUGUCGAUUUCCUAUUCGUUCCCUAUAUAUAAAUUGAAUAAGGAAAACCUCAUGCAAAGGAAACAU
This 1007-nucleotide long non-coding RNA is filed under the name Gossypium raimondii (Peruvian cotton). RNAcentral describes it as "long non-coding RNA (GRAI_LNC000072)". Lineage: Eukaryota; Viridiplantae; Streptophyta; Magnoliopsida; Malvales; Malvaceae. The record is from RNAcentral.